GACGAACGCUGGCGGCGUGCUUAACACAUGCAAGUCGAACGGAAAGGCCCUGCCUCUGUGGGGUGCUCGAGUGGCGAACGGGUGAGUAACACGUGAGUAACCUGCCCUUGACUUUGGGAUAACUUCAGGAAACUGGGGCUAAUACCGGAUAGGAGCUCCUGCUGCAUGGUGGGGGUUGGAAAGUUUCGGCGGUUGGGGAUGGACUCGCGGCUUAUCAGCUUGUUGGUGGGGUAGUGGCUUACCAAGGCUUUGACGGGUAGCCGGCCUGAGAGGGUGACCGGCCACAUUGGGACUGAGAUACGGCCCAGACUCCUACGGGAGGCAGCAGUGGGGAAUAUUGCACAAUGGGCGGAAGCCUGAUGCAGCAACGCCGCGUGCGGGAUGACGGCCUUCGGGUUGUAAACCGCUUUCGCCUGUGACGAAGCGUGAGUGACGGUAAUGGGUAAAGAAGCACCGGCUAACUACGUG
RNAcentral lists this ribosomal RNA (468 nucleotides) under uncultured bacterium. Its description in RNAcentral is "partial 16S ribosomal RNA". It matches the Rfam family "Bacterial small subunit ribosomal RNA", at positions 28 to 507 of the family's 1533-position model. The record is from RNAcentral.